RNAcentral lists this non-coding RNA (30 nucleotides) under Mus musculus (house mouse). Lineage: Eukaryota; Metazoa; Chordata; Mammalia; Rodentia; Muridae. The record is from RNAcentral.
UCCCAGCAAAAAGAAUGACCACGGGGGCGC